ACGCGUAAGAACUUGCCUCUUAGACCGGGACAACAUCUGGAAACGGAUGCUAAUGCCAGAUAUUAUGGUUUUUUCGCAUGGAGGAAUCAUGAAAGCUAGAUGCGCUAAGAGAGAGCUUUGCGUCCCAUUAGCUCGUUGGUGAGGUAACGGCCCACCAAGGCAAUGAUGGGUAGCCGGCCUGAGAGGGUGAACGGCCACAAGGGGACUGAGACACGGCCCUUACUCCUACGGGAGGCAGCAGUGGGGAAUAUUGGACAAUGGACCACAAGUCUGAUCCAGCAAUUCUGUGUGCACGAUGACGUUUUUCGGAAUGUAAAGUGCUUUCAGUCGGGAAGAAGUCAGUGACGGUACCGACAGAAGAAGCGACGGCUAAAUACGUGCCAGCAGCCGCGGUAAUACGUAUGUCGCAAGCGUUAUCCGGAUUUAUUGGGCGUAAAGCGCGUCUAGGCGGCAAGGAAAGUCUGAUGUGAAAAUGCGGAGCUCAACUCCGUAUGGCGUUGGAAACUGCCUUACUAGAGUACUGGAGAGGUAGGCGGAACUACAAGUGUAGAGGUGAAAUUCGUAGAUAUUUGUAGGAAUGCCGAUGGGGAAGCCAGCCUACUGGACAGAUACUGACGCUAAAGCGCGAAAGCGUGGGUAGCAAACAGGAUUAGAUACCCUGGUAGUCCACGCUGUAAACGAUGAUUACUAGGUGUUGGGGGUCAAACCUCAGCGCCCAAGCUAACGCGAUAAAGUAUCCGCCUGGGGAGUACGUACGCAAGUAUGAAACUCAAAGGAUUGACGGGGACCCGCAC
RNAcentral lists this ribosomal RNA (794 nucleotides) under uncultured Fusobacterium sp. RNAcentral's name for it is "bacterial SSU rRNA". It matches the Rfam family "Bacterial small subunit ribosomal RNA", at positions 113 to 926 of the family's 1533-position model. Lineage: Bacteria; Fusobacteriati; Fusobacteriota; Fusobacteriia; Fusobacteriales; Fusobacteriaceae. The record is from RNAcentral.